RNAcentral lists this ribosomal RNA (244 nucleotides) under uncultured bacterium. RNAcentral's name for it is "partial 16S ribosomal RNA". It matches the Rfam family "Bacterial small subunit ribosomal RNA", at positions 111 to 354 of the family's 1533-position model. The record is from RNAcentral.
UAACGCGUGAGGAACCUGCCUUUCGGAGGGGGACAACAGUUGGAAACGACUGCUAAUACCGCAUGACACAUGACUGUGGCAUCAUAGACAUGUCAAAGAUUUUAUCGCCGAAAGAUGGCCUCGCGUCUGAUUAGCUAGUUGGUGAGGUAACGGCUCACCAAGGCGACGAUCAGUAGCCGGACUGAGAGGUUGGCCGGCCACAUUGGGACUGAGAUACGGCCCAGACUCCUACGGGAGGCAGCAG